RNAcentral lists this ribosomal RNA (583 nucleotides) under uncultured bacterium. RNAcentral's name for it is "bacterial SSU rRNA". It matches the Rfam family "Bacterial small subunit ribosomal RNA", at positions 331 to 929 of the family's 1533-position model. The record is from RNAcentral.
CCAGACUCCUACGGGAGGCAGCAGUGAGGAAUCUUCCACAAUGGGCGAAAGCCUGAUGGAGCAACGCCGCGUGCAGGAUGAAGGCCUUCGGGUUGUAAACUGCUUUUAUAAGUGAGGAAUAUGACGGUAACUUAUGAAUAAGGAUCGGCUAACUACGUGCCAGCAGCCGCGGUCAUACGUAGGAUCCGAGCGUUAUCCGGAGUGACUGGGCGUAAAGAGUUGCGUAGGCGGUUUGUUAAGCGAAUAGUGAAACCUGGUGGCUCAACCAUACAGACUAUUAUUCGAACUGGCAAACUCGAGAGUGGUAGAGGUCACUGGAAUUUCUUGUGUAGGAGUGAAAUCCGUAGAUAUAAGAAGGAACACCAAUGGCGUAGGCAGGUGACUAGACCAUUUCUGACGCUAAGGCACGAAAGCGUGGGGAGCGAACCGGAUUAGAUACCCGGGUAGUCCACGCCGUAAACGAUGGAUACUAGCUGUUGGAGGUAUCGACCCCUUCAGUAGCGAAGCUAACGCGUUAAGUAUCCCGCCUGUGGAGUACGGCCGCAAGGCUAAAACAUAAAGGAAUUGACGGGGCCCGCACAAG